GUUUCCCUGCUUUGUGCGUGAUGGCUCGGGGGCUCGUUUGAGCCGAUGUUUCAUCCCAAGUGAGUCGCGACGUUGCGUGGUGUGCAUGCCUCUGUAAGAGGAAGCCUGAAGCGCGGCUUGUGCAGCGACUCCACCUGCUCUAGCAGGUUCAUUCGACCUCCCCACACGGCAAAGCGGGGUUCUU
RNAcentral lists this non-coding RNA (184 nucleotides) under Acidobacteriota bacterium. Its description in RNAcentral is "Acidobacteria bacterium (soil metagenome) 6S RNA". It matches the Rfam family "6S / SsrS RNA". Rfam says of the family: E. coli 6S RNA was the first non coding RNA to be sequenced, but its function was unknown until recently. It consists of 184 nucleotides that fold into an extended hairpin structure with a large single-stranded internal bulge. The record is from RNAcentral. Lineage: Bacteria; Pseudomonadati; Acidobacteriota.